This 990-nucleotide ribosomal RNA is filed under the name Triticum aestivum (bread wheat). RNAcentral describes it as "partial small subunit ribosomal RNA". The record is from RNAcentral. Lineage: Eukaryota; Viridiplantae; Streptophyta; Magnoliopsida; Poales; Poaceae.
AUGGGUGGAAGCAACUAUGAUGACGACUGGGUGUUGCCCAGUGCUGACAUCACUCUUGUUCUUGUUGGAAAACUUGGCUAUGGCAAGAGUGCAACUGGCAAUAGUAUCCUUGGACGGGAAGCAUUUGUAUCAGAAUACUCUCAUGCCAGUGUGACAAACACUUGUCAGAUGGGAAGCACCAUGCUGACGGAUGGCCGCACCAUCAAUGUUAUUGAUACACCAGGAUUAUUUGACAUGACCGUAACUCCUGAGGAUGCUGGCAAAGAAAUUGUUAAGUGCAUGAACAUGGCUAAAGAUGGGAUACAUGCUGUGUUGAUGGUUUUUUCUGCUACGUCUCGAUUUUCUCGAGAAGAUUCUAGUACAAUUGAGACUAUCAAAGUGUUUUUUGGAGAGAAAAUCGUUGAUCACUUGGUCUUAGUUUUCACUUAUGGAGAUUUAGUUGGUGAAAAUUUAUUGAAGAACAUGUUAAGUAAUGCCCCAGACUAUCUGCAGAAAGUUGUUCAGCUAUGCAAAAAUAGAGUGGUUCUUUUUGAUAACAAGACCAAGGACCCUAGGAUUCGAACUAAGCAGCUCGAAACGUUGCUUGAUGUGGUUGAUUCUGUUAGUGCAAAUAAUGGAGGAAACCCAUUUACAGAUCAAAUGCUCACUCGCCUUAAGGAGGUGCAUGAUAGAGAGAAGGAGGUUCAUGAUGCUCUCGGAUAUUCAGAGGACCAAAUAUCUGAAUUGAAGAAGGAGAUCCACAGAACUCGGGAUGAACAGCUUGCAAACAUUACUGCCAUGGUGGAGGAAAAGCUGAAUAUCACGGUGGAGAAGCUGCAAGUUCAACUCAUGGAAGAACAGAAUGCAAGGCUGGAAGCAGAGAGGGUGGCGGCGGAGGCCAGGCUGAAAUCCGACGAGGAGAUCCGCAAGCUCAAGGAGAGGCUCGAGAAGGCUCAGGAGGAAAACGAGGAGUUCCGGAGGCUGGCGGCGAACAAGUGCGCCAUUCUGUAA